Molecule: RNase P RNA, 304 nt
Filed under: Klebsiella pneumoniae VAKPC280
Lineage: Bacteria; Pseudomonadati; Pseudomonadota; Gammaproteobacteria; Enterobacterales; Enterobacteriaceae
Description: Bacterial RNase P class A
Rfam family: Bacterial RNase P class A
About the family: Ribonuclease P (RNase P) is a ubiquitous endoribonuclease, found in archaea, bacteria and eukarya as well as chloroplasts and mitochondria.
Source: RNAcentral
GAGGAAAGUCCGGGCUCCAUAGGGCAAGGUGCCAGGUAACGCCUGGGGGGUGUCACAGCCCACGACCAGUGCAACAGAGAGCAAACCGCCGAUGGCCCGCGCAAGCGGGAUCAGGUAAGGGUGAAAGGGUGCGGUAAGAGCGCACCGCGCGGCUGGUAACAGUCCGCGGCACGGUAAACUCCACCCGGAGCAAGGCCAAAUAGGGGUUCAUAAGGUACGGCCCGUACUGAACCCGGGUAGGCUGCUUGAGCCAGUGAGCGAUUGCUGGCCUAGAUGAAUGACUGUCCACGACAGAACCCGGCUU